Molecule: ribosomal RNA, 253 nt
Filed under: uncultured bacterium
Lineage: Bacteria
Description: partial 16S ribosomal RNA
Rfam family: Bacterial small subunit ribosomal RNA
Source: RNAcentral
UACGUAGGCAGCAAGCGUUGUUCGGAGUUACUGGGCGUAAAGGGUGUGUAGGCGGUUGGUUAAGUUUGGUGUGAAAUCUCCCGGCUCAACUGGGAGGGUGCGCCGAAUACUGAAUGACUAGAGUGUGGGAGAGGUGAGUGGAAUUCCUGGUGUAGCGGUGAAAUGCGUAGAUAUCAGGAGGAACACCGGUGGUGUAGACGGCUCACUGGACCAUAACUGACGCUGAGACACGAAAGCGUGGGUAGCAAACAGG